AGCAUUGCAGUGUCAGAAGCAGAGUUCAAAGGAUAAAAGUGAUUGCUAUUAAGAGAAAACAAGGCUACCAAGUCUCCAUGAGCAUCUUGGAGCAGGUGAGGUUUCAUUAAACUGUGUGAGAUAGCAAAGAUUGAGACAUUGUGAAAAGGGUAAGGAUGGCAGCAGUUAUUCUAAGCAAGGAGGAUGUCUUGAGUUACAAAAUAAAUUCUAGCCUGAGUAAAAGGUUCCCCCUUGAGGAGAAGAUAAAAAAGGCUGGAGUAGGUCGGGGUUGGACCGUUGAAGACCUUGGAUGGCAGCCCAGGACUUCAGCCUUGUGACUGAGGCCCCAACAGGAAGAAGUGAGUGCCUGGUGGUUGUAUGAGCAGAAGAGGCAGAAGCAAUGGGAGUGGAGCCUAGAGAAGAGACCGAAGGACUCUUGCAGGCAGAGCCUGUACCAAUGUGAGGUGAGUUUGAAUCAAGCUGGAAGAAGAGGAAGGAUCACUCAAGGGCCACCACCAUGGAAGCAGUCCUGAUGCCACACUUCCAGCCCCCUGAGGACAACUGGACCAUAAAAGGAGUGGUGAGGAAGGAGAGGGUUGGCAGUGGCAUGCCAGUGUCUGCUCUGCUUCUGCUCUGGCUUCCCUGGUCAAAAUCUCAAGAGGCACUGGUCUACCAUGGAAACGACCCAUCAGGGAACAUAGAAGAAAAGACCAGCUAUACAGUUAAAAUGACCUCAGUGGAGGCUGACACAACGCAGAGCUUGAAAAUAAUGCUUGGGCUCUGCUCACCAUUUCUAUUGAGAAGCAUGAAACUCACUUGCCCUGGAGUUACACACACAGUCAUAGAUCUGUGACCAAAACCCAUCCGCUGGAGAAUGGAAUGCUUCUGGGGUUUUCUUCCCAAGUAAUUCUUAGCAUGGCUGAAGGCUCUAGUUGUCCCUAAAGAAAUUCUGUCAUCUGGGCUCUGGCAAAGGGCCUCUGUGAAAACACACCCCCAAGGAAACAAACCUGUUCUGCAGGAACUUUCUGGUUUCAGUGGUUUUGAAUAUCCCUGUCACAGCUCAGAGACAGUAGCAACGGGACACAGCAGCCAUUCUUUGUACCUCAAACUCCUCUAUCUGGGCUUUGCUUAUAAAAUAAAAUGCUGAAAUCCAUAAAAUGCUGUAACA
RNAcentral lists this long non-coding RNA (1147 nucleotides) under Sus scrofa (pig). Its description in RNAcentral is "lncRNA (ENSSSCG00050027693.1, ENSSSCG00060031997.1)". Lineage: Eukaryota; Metazoa; Chordata; Mammalia; Artiodactyla; Suidae. The record is from RNAcentral.